This 249-nucleotide ribosomal RNA is filed under the name Entomoneis paludosa. Its description in RNAcentral is "Amphiprora paludosa partial Eukaryotic large subunit ribosomal RNA". It matches the Rfam family "Eukaryotic large subunit ribosomal RNA", at positions 646 to 914 of the family's 3401-position model. Lineage: Eukaryota; Bacillariophyta; Bacillariophyceae; Surirellales; Surirellaceae. The record is from RNAcentral.
CGCCCGUCUUGUAACACGGACCAAGGAGUGUACCUUGCAUGCGAGUCUAAUGGACUGGAAUCCACUAGGCGUAGCGAAAGCGACGAGAGCGAAUCCCUCACCGGAGGAUGCUCCACCUGCCUGUGUAAGGUUGAGCAUGUAGGGUGCGACCCGAAAGAUGGUGAACUAUGCUUGAAUAGGGUGAAGCCAGAGGAAACUCUGGUGGAGGCUCGCAGCGGUUCUGACGUGCAAAUCGAUCGUCAAAUUUGG